GACGAACGCUGGCGGCGUGCUUAACACAUGCAAGUCGAACGGAAAGGCCCUGCUUGCCGGGUACUCGAGUGGCGAACGGGUGAGUAACACGUGGGUGAUCUGCCCUGCACUUCGGGAUAAGCCUGGGAAACUGGGUCUAAUACCGGAUAGGAGCCAUUUUUAGUGUGAUGGUUGGAAAGUUUUUUCGGUGUAGGAUGAGCUCGCGGCCUAUCAGCUUGUUGGUGGGGUAAUGGCCUACCAAGGCGGCGACGGGUAGCCGGCCUGAGGGGGUGGCCGGCCACAUUGGGACUGAGAUACGGCCCAGACUCCUACGGGAGGCAGCAGGGGGGAAUAUUGCACAAUGGGCGCAAGCCUGAUGCAGCGACGCCGCGUGGGGGAUGACGGCCUUCGGGUUGUAAACUCCUUUCGCUAGGGACGAAGCUUUUUGUGACGGUACCUAGAUAAGAAGCACCGGCUAACUACGUG
RNAcentral lists this ribosomal RNA (465 nucleotides) under uncultured bacterium. RNAcentral's name for it is "partial 16S ribosomal RNA". It matches the Rfam family "Bacterial small subunit ribosomal RNA", at positions 28 to 507 of the family's 1533-position model. The record is from RNAcentral.